RNAcentral lists this ribosomal RNA (1332 nucleotides) under Cellulomonas fimi. Its description in RNAcentral is "bacterial SSU rRNA". It matches the Rfam family "Bacterial small subunit ribosomal RNA", at positions 8 to 1352 of the family's 1533-position model. Lineage: Bacteria; Bacillati; Actinomycetota; Actinomycetes; Micrococcales; Cellulomonadaceae. The record is from RNAcentral.
AGAGUUUGAUCCUGGCUCAGGACGAACGCUGGCGGCGUGCUUAACACAUGCAAGUCGAACGGUGACGACCAGCUUGCUGGUCUGAUCAGUGGCGAACGGGUGAGUAACACGUGAGCAACCUGCCCCUGACUCUGGGAUAACGACCGGAAACGGUCGCUAAUACCGGAUAUGAGACGUACAGGCAUCUGUUGCGUCUGGAAAGUUUUUCGGUCAGGGAUGGGCUCGCGGCCUAUCAGCUUGUUGGUGGGGUAACGGCCUACCAAGGCGACGACGGGUAGCCGGCCUGAGAGGGCGACCGGCCACACUGGGACUGAGACACGGCCCAGACUCCUACGGGAGGCAGCAGUGGGGAAUAUUGCACAAUGGGCGCAAGCCUGAUGCAGCGACGCCGCGUGAGGGAUGACGGCCUUCGGGUUGUAAACCUCUUUCAGCAGGGAAGAAGCGCAAGUGACGGUACCUGCAGAAGAAGCGCCGGCUAACUACGUGCCAGCAGCCGCGGUAAUACGUAGGGCGCAAGCGUUGUCCGGAAUUAUUGGGCGUAAAGAGCUCGUAGGCGGUUUGUCGCGUCUGCUGUGAAAACCUCAGGCUCAACCUGGGGCUUGCAGUGGGUACGGGCAGACUAGAGUGCGGUAGGGGUGACUGGAAUUCCUGGUGUAGCGGUGGAAUGCGCAGAUAUCAGGAGGAACACCGAUGGCGAAGGCAGGUCACUGGGCCGCAACUGACGCUGAGGAGCGAAAGCAUGGGGAGCGAACAGGAUUAGAUACCCUGGUAGUCCAUGCCGUAAACGUUGGGCACUAGGUGUGGGGCUCAUUCCACGAGCUCUGUGCCGCAGCAAACGCAUUAAGUGCCCCCGCCCCCGCGAGUACGGCCGCAAGGCUAAAACUCAAAGAAAUUGACGGGGGCCCGCACAAGCGGCGGAGCAUGCGGAUUAAUUCGAUGCAACGCGAAGAACCUUACCAAGGCUUGACAUACACCGGAAAAGUGCAGAGAUGUGCUCCCCGUAAGGUCGGUGUACAGGUGGUGCAUGGUUGUCGUCAGCUCGUGUCGUGAGAUGUUGGGUUAAGUCCCGCAACGAGCGCAACCCUCGUCCCAUGUUGCCAGCGGGUUAUGCCGGGGACUCAUGGGAGACUGCCGGGGUCAACUCGGAGGAAGGUGGGGAUGACGUCAAAUCAUCAUGCCCCUUAUGUCUUGGGCUUCACGCAUGCUACAAUGGCCGGUACAAAGGGCUGCGAUACCGCGAGGUGGAGCGAAUCCCAAAAAGCCGGUCUCAGUUCGGAUUGGGGUCUGCAACUCGACCCCAUGAAGUCGGAGUCGCUAGUAAUCGCAGAUCAU